GCCAUAAAUAAGUCAGCUAUUAAUAUUCAGGGUAUGAAUUUGAUAGCGUUACAUUUAUGGUAGAGUAAAAUGAAGGAUUUGGUAUUUAAACAUAUUGUCGUUCUGACAAUAUCGAUUUAUAAUACGUCCUUCUUUGUUCCUCAGAGAGUUGAUUAUUUAUUAACAAAUAAUCAUAGUUUUGGAACAUACAAA
Molecule: small nucleolar RNA, 192 nt
Organism: Ceratina calcarata
Lineage: Eukaryota; Metazoa; Arthropoda; Insecta; Hymenoptera; Apidae
Product: small nucleolar RNA SNORA74
Exons: 1
Source: RefSeq, a predicted model, not a curated record